This 202-nucleotide long non-coding RNA is filed under the name Capsicum annuum. RNAcentral's name for it is "long non-coding RNA (CANN_LNC015506)". Lineage: Eukaryota; Viridiplantae; Streptophyta; Magnoliopsida; Solanales; Solanaceae. The record is from RNAcentral.
CAUUUGAUUCAUCUAAUUCACUAUCUAUUUCAUUAUCUGUUUCAUCCUCCGAAAUUUCAUAUAUACUAUCUUCACUUUCUAAUUCAUAAUCUAUAUAAUCUAUCUGCAUAUAUUCUAUAUUUUUUAUUUUUAUUUCUGAUAUUUGUUUAUUUUUUGGGUUUUUUGGUAAUUUACAAUCUCUAGCUAAAUAUCCUAGUUUUCC